RNAcentral lists this ribosomal RNA (219 nucleotides) under uncultured bacterium. Its description in RNAcentral is "partial 16S ribosomal RNA". It matches the Rfam family "Bacterial small subunit ribosomal RNA", at positions 524 to 742 of the family's 1533-position model. The record is from RNAcentral.
UACGAAGGGGGCUAGCGUUGUUCGGAUUUACUGGGCGUAAAGGGCGCGUAGGCGGUGCGAUAAGUCAGGCGUGAAAGCCCCGGGCUCAACCCGGGAAUAGCGCUUGAUACUGUUGCGCUUGAAUCCAGGAGAGGAUGGCGGAAUUCCCAGUGUAGAGGUGAAAUUCGUAGAUAUUGGGAAGAACACCAGUGGCGAAGGCGGCCAUCUGGCCUGGAAUUG